This 253-nucleotide ribosomal RNA is filed under the name uncultured bacterium. Its description in RNAcentral is "partial 16S ribosomal RNA". It matches the Rfam family "Bacterial small subunit ribosomal RNA", at positions 524 to 776 of the family's 1533-position model. The record is from RNAcentral.
UACGGAGGGUGCAAGCGUUGUCCGGAAUCACUGGGUGUAAAGGGCGCGUAGGCGGCUCAUGAAGGCUGUGGUGAAAGUCCGGGGCUCAACCUCGGAUCGGCCGUGGCGACUCGUGGGCUGGAGCACUGUAGAGGCGGGUGGAAUUCCGGGUGUAGCGGUGGAAUGCGUAGAGAUCCGGAAGAACACCAGUGGCGAAGGCGGCCCGCUGGGCAGUGGCUGACGCUGAGGCGCGACAGCGUGGGGAGCAAACAGG